CAGACUUUCAAACGCCAUUAGACCAAACAAACCAAGAUACACCCAGCAGCACGCUGGGUGCUCACUCCCAAAAGGGAGACUACUUUAGACUACUUUAACAAAAAAUAACUCAAACAAAGAGAAAAACUAAAUCAUAAAAAAGAAACCACAAAUACAGAAAAGAUAGAAAAGGUAGAGAGAGAACACACUCAAGCCAAACGGCUACGUGCACACGCUCUCACACUCGCAAACGCCACGCCCACUCACUUCCGCAUCCGCUCAGAGAGAGAGAGAGAGAGAGGGAGGGAUAGAGACACAGAGGUAGAGAGAGAGAGAGAGAGAGAGGGAUAGAGACACAGAGGUAGAGAGAGAGAGAGAGAUGGAUGAAGACACAGAGGUAGAGGUAGAGAGAGAGAGGGAUAGAGACAGAGAGGUAGAGAGAGAGAGGUAGAGAGAGAGAGAGAGAGAUGGAUAGAGACACAGAGGUAGAGAGAGAGAGGUAGAGAGAGAGAGAGAUGGAUAGAGACACAGAGGUAGAGAGAGAGAGAGA
Molecule: long non-coding RNA, 529 nt
Organism: Clupea harengus (Atlantic herring)
Lineage: Eukaryota; Metazoa; Chordata; Actinopteri; Clupeiformes; Clupeidae
Source: Ensembl